AGUAGCUUGCUACUUUGCUGACGAGCGGCGGACGGGUGAGUAAUGCUUGGGAACAUGCCUUGAGGUGGGGGACAACAGUUGGAAACGACUGCUAAUACCGCAUAAUGUCUACGGACCAAAGGGGGCUUCGGCUCUCGCCUUUAGAUUGGCCCAAGUGGGAUUAGCUAGUUGGUGAGGUAAUGGCUCACCAAGGCGACGAUCCCUAGCUGGUUUGAGAGGAUGAUCAGCCACACUGGGACUGAGACACGGCCCAGACUCCUACGGGAGGCAGCAGUGGGGAAUAUUGCACAAUGGGCGCAAGCCUGAUGCAGCCAUGCCGCGUGUGUGAAGAAGGCCUUCGGGUUGUAAAGCACUUUCAGUCAGGAGGAAAGCGUGGUGGUUAAUACCCAUCAUGUGUGACGUUACUGACAGAAGAAGCACCGGCUAACUCCGUGCCAGCAGCCGCGGUAAUACGGAGGGUGCGAGCGUUAAUCGGAAUUACUGGGCGUAAAGCGUACGCAGGCGGUUUGUUAAGCGAGAUGUGAAAGCCCCGGGCUCAACCUGGGAACUGCAUUUCGAACUGGCAAACUAGAGUGUGAUAGAGGGUGGUAGAAUUUCAGGUGUAGCGGUGAAAUGCGUAGAGAUCUGAAGGAAUACCGAUGGCGAAGGCAGCCACCUGGGUCAACACUGACGCUCAUGUACAAAAGCGUGGGGAGCAAACGGGAUUAGAUACCCCGGUAGUCCACGCCGUAAACGAUGUCUACUAGAAGCUCGGAGCCUCGGUUCUGUUUUUUCAAAGCUAACGCAUUAAGUAGACCGCCUGGGGAGUACGGCCGCAAGGUU
This 822-nucleotide ribosomal RNA is filed under the name Pseudoalteromonas arctica. Its description in RNAcentral is "bacterial SSU rRNA". It matches the Rfam family "Bacterial small subunit ribosomal RNA", at positions 74 to 895 of the family's 1533-position model. Lineage: Bacteria; Pseudomonadati; Pseudomonadota; Gammaproteobacteria; Alteromonadales; Pseudoalteromonadaceae. The record is from RNAcentral.